GGAGGGGGGGCUAGCGUUGUUCGGAUUUACUGGGCGUAAAGGGCGCGUAGGCGGUAUGCCAUGUCAGGGGGGGUGAAAAGGGCCUGGGGCUCAACCCAGGAACUGCCUUUGAAACUGGCAAACUAGAGUCCGAUAGAGGAUGGCGGAAUUCCCAGUGUAGAGGUGAAAUUCGUAGAUAUUGGGAAGAACACCAGUGGCGAAGGCGGCCAUCUGGAUCGGCACUGACGCUGAGGCGCGAAAGCGUGGGGAGCAAACAGGAUUAGAUACCCUGGUAGUCCACGCCGUAAACGAUGUGUGCUAGACGUUGGGGGCCUUAGGCCCUGAGUGUCGCAGCUAACGCGUUAAGCACACCGCCUGGGGACGUACGGCCGCAAGGUUA
This 379-nucleotide ribosomal RNA is filed under the name uncultured organism. RNAcentral's name for it is "partial 16S ribosomal RNA". It matches the Rfam family "Bacterial small subunit ribosomal RNA", at positions 525 to 896 of the family's 1533-position model. The record is from RNAcentral.